This is a small nucleolar RNA of Lolium rigidum, 66 nucleotides long. RefSeq annotates it as small nucleolar RNA snoR60. The transcript has a single exon. NCBI's taxonomy places the organism in Eukaryota, Viridiplantae, Streptophyta, Magnoliopsida, Poales, Poaceae. The record is from RefSeq and is a predicted model, not a curated record.
GAGCAGAUGACAAGCUAAAAUCGGAUUCCCCUUUCAGACAAGAUGCAAAAUCGAGUUUCUGAUGCU